Molecule: ribosomal RNA, 370 nt
Filed under: Calamia tridens
Lineage: Eukaryota; Metazoa; Arthropoda; Insecta; Lepidoptera; Noctuidae
Description: partial 16S large subunit ribosomal RNA
Source: RNAcentral
UGAUGACUUGUAUGAAAGAUUGGAUGAAAUAUAAACUGUCUCUUAAUUAAAUAUAAAAUUUAAUUUUUUAAUUAAAAAGUUAAAAUAAAUUAAAAAGACGAGAAGACCCUAUAGAGUUUUAUAAUUGAUUUUAUUAAGAUUAUUUAAAUAAAUAAAUUAAGAUUAAAUUAAUUAUUUUAUUGGGGUGAUAAAAAAAUAUAUAUAACUUUUUUUAAUAUUAAAACAUUUAUAAGUGAUUAAUUGAUCCAAUAUUAUUGAUUACAAGAAAAAAUUACCUUAGGGAUAACAGCGUAAUUUUUUUUUUUAGUUCAAAUAAGAAAAAAAGUUUGCGACCUCGAUGUUGGAUUAAGAUAAAAUUUAAAUGCAGAAG